AGGACGAACGCUGGCGGCGUGGAUUAGGCAUGCAAGUCGAGCGACGGACAGUCUUCGGACUGUUACGGAGCGGCGAACGGGUGAGUAACACGUGAAUAACCUGCCCUCACAUUCUGGAUAAUUCACCGAAAGGUGUUGUAAUACAGGCGAGGAUUCUUAAGAGGCAUUUCUUGAGAAGGGAAGGCGCAAGCCGUGCGAGGAGGGGUUCGCGGAUUAUCAGGUAGUUGGUGGGGUAACGGCCCACCAAGCCGACGACGAUUAGCUGGUCUGAGAGGAUGGUCAGCCACAUUGGGACUGAGACACUGCCCAGACUCCUACGGGAGGCUGCAGUCGAGAAUCUUGCACAAUGUACGAAAGUAUGAUGCAGCGACGCCGCGUGAAGGAUGAAGGCCCUCGUGGUCGUAAACUUCUUUAUGUGGAAGAAUAAAUGACGUACCACAUAGAAUAAGCCACGGCUAACUACGUGACCAGCAGCCGCGGUAAUCGUGA
Molecule: ribosomal RNA, 489 nt
Filed under: uncultured soil bacterium
Lineage: Bacteria
Description: bacterial SSU rRNA
Rfam family: Bacterial small subunit ribosomal RNA
Source: RNAcentral